CGGUAACAGGAAGAAGCUUGCUUCUUUGCUGACGAGUGGCGGACGGGUGAGUAAUGUCUGGGAAACUGCCUGAUGGAGGGGGAUAACUACUGGAAACGGUAGCUAAUACCGCAUAACGUCGCAAGACCAAAGAGGGGGACCUUCGGGCCUCUUGCCAUCGGAUGUGCCCAGAUGGGAUUAGCUAGUAGGUGGGGUAAAGGCUCACCUAGGCGACGAUCCCUAGCUGGUCUGAGAGGAUGACCAGCCACACUGGAACUGAGACACGGUCCAGACUCCUACGGGAGGCAGCAGUGGGGAAUAUUGCACAAUGGGCGCAAGCCUGAUGCAGCCAUGCCGCGUGUAUGAAGAAGGCCUUCGGGUUGUAAAGUACUUUCAGCGGGGAGGAAGGGAGUAAAGUUAAUACCUUUGCUCAUUGACGUUACCCGCAGAAGAAGCACCGGCUAACUCCGUGCCAGC
RNAcentral lists this ribosomal RNA (456 nucleotides) under activated sludge bacterium KC20. RNAcentral describes it as "bacterial SSU rRNA". It matches the Rfam family "Bacterial small subunit ribosomal RNA", at positions 67 to 512 of the family's 1533-position model. The record is from RNAcentral.